AACCUGUGGCAUACUCGACCAACUACUGCGUUCUGGGAAAGACUUCAGCCAGGAUAUGGCAACUUGAAGGUGAAAGCAGUGCAGGGGCCCAGUGAAGACCUAACAAUUGAAGAUGUAAUAAUUGCAUGAGUCCUGCUGACAUGACAUCAAAAGCUCUCCCAGGCAUACCCCAGUGUCUUCUGCCUGGGCUGUUUUAUUUCAACCGUGUAAGGUUACCAACGGCCAAAUGAUGAUGAACCAAACCUGCACGAGCAGACAGAAGGGGCUGUACACCUUUCUGAAGAUUCCCACGGGCUCGCCCUAAACGCUGGGGAUUCCCUUCGGAACAUUAAAAACGGACCUUCAGUAAGACACGCAAAGGCUAAUUUUACAAAUGCAAUAGGCAGAUACCCUUCCAGCAACCGAUGCAGACAGAAGCGGAUAAGAAAGGGGAUUCUGACUAGAUCGCUGAGACUGUAGGAGGAACUGGCUGGGGCCCCUGAAAUUCACCCCGAACUAGUGAUCUGCCUCUAACUUCUCUUCAGGAAACGGUUCAAAGUUAUGAAACAGGUCGGAGCUGGACGGGCCAAAGCACAUAAUCCACGUCCAGGACCAGGUGCCAGCAGGGGACCCCAGCCCUCCGCC
This is a long non-coding RNA of Tupaia belangeri chinensis (Chinese tree shrew), 624 nucleotides long. RefSeq lists it as uncharacterized. Lineage: Eukaryota; Metazoa; Chordata; Mammalia; Scandentia; Tupaiidae. The record is from RefSeq and is a predicted model, not a curated record. The transcript has 3 exons.